This 253-nucleotide ribosomal RNA is filed under the name uncultured bacterium. RNAcentral's name for it is "partial 16S ribosomal RNA". It matches the Rfam family "Bacterial small subunit ribosomal RNA", at positions 524 to 776 of the family's 1533-position model. The record is from RNAcentral.
UACGUAGGGGGCAAGCGUUAUCCGGAAUUACUGGGUGUAAAGGGAGCGUAGACGGUAAUGUAAGUCUGGAGUGAAAGGCGGGGGCCCAACCCCCGGACUGCUCUGGAAACUAUGUUACUAGAGUGCAGGAGAGGUAAGCGGAAUUCCUAGUGUAGCGGUGAAAUGCGUAGAUAUUAGGAGGAACACCAGUGGCGAAGGCGGCUUACUGGACUGUAACUGACGCUGAGGCUCGAAAGCGUGGGGAGCAAACAGG